UACGGAGGGUGCAAGCGUUGUUCGGAAUUACUGGGCGUAAAGCGGGUGUAGGCGGCCUCGCAAGUCAGGUGUGAAAUCCCUGGGCCCAACCCAGGAACUGCACUUGAUACUGCUUGGCUCGAGUCCCGGAGAGGAUGGCGGAAUUCCAGGUGUAGAGGUGAAAUUCGUAGAUAUCUGGAGGAACACCAGCGGCGAAGGCGGCCAUCUGGACGGUGACUGACGCUCAGACCCGAAAGCGUGGGGAGCAAACAGG
RNAcentral lists this ribosomal RNA (253 nucleotides) under uncultured bacterium. RNAcentral's name for it is "partial 16S ribosomal RNA". It matches the Rfam family "Bacterial small subunit ribosomal RNA", at positions 524 to 776 of the family's 1533-position model. The record is from RNAcentral.